UGCUUUGUGUAUAUUGUCAUUAGCAAACGAACUGGGCUGAGCCGAGCUGAUGGGCGGGUUCCUCGAAAUUGUAUUGUCCGCUAACAUUAAUGAACUUAUAUGGAUUGGAUGUGUCAACCAUUUGCCAAAUAUCCAAAUAUUCCAAUUCCGAAUAGAAGAGAGAGAGCUUAAGUCGGACUGGAUAGAAACCAAAACGCCACUCAAUCGGAGAAGAACUUUCAAAAUCAACUUUUGUGGGCCAGUGGACAGUGUGUUUGUAUGUGUUUGGUUAGCCCUCGUCAUAAUUGACAGUUUUGUGCCAAGAAUAUACCGCAAACUGUUUUAGUUUUGAUUUGGACUGGCAGCCGCCGCAGAAUGAUUCGCUUCGCUGCAUUGGCAGGUCGAGAAGCAACAACGAAAAGAUACUUUUUCGCAGAAACCGAUACUCUGUAGAGUUGGUAACAGCCGUUGGUAGUGCCCAGAAGUGACCUCUAAAUUGAAAGAACUCGAGUGCCAGACAAAAGACACCCCCACACUCCAACCCCUCUCUACAGAGACUAUAUAGUUUAUAACCAUAUUUAGUCUGUAGAUCCGACCACAAGUGAGGCAAGGUGGCGAGUACAUAACCACAGCAGCAGUGGGGAAACCGAAGCAUGGAGAAUAUUCGCUUAAUUUAAGAAUACUCAAGUCUUCAAGCUAGAACUAACAGCAUAUGAGUGGCAGGCAGGGGCUAUAGCUCUCGCUCUUCAUGGCCAUGACGAUGGCCUGCCUGCCACAUAUGGAGACGGGUCGGCUCCUCCGCUCCAUUCAGUGCGCCAAACAGAACAGAACCGAGCACCGAAUGGAUCCCAGCUGAACUACACCAGACUAAAAUAAAGAGAACUAAAUGGAAUGGACCUAGGGGCGUCGACAGUAACUGUUUUCGGUUGGGGGAGUAGUAACUAG
Molecule: long non-coding RNA, 924 nt
Organism: Drosophila kikkawai
Lineage: Eukaryota; Metazoa; Arthropoda; Insecta; Diptera; Drosophilidae
Source: RefSeq, a predicted model, not a curated record